RNAcentral lists this ribosomal RNA (1531 nucleotides) under Salmonella enterica. Its description in RNAcentral is "bacterial SSU rRNA". It matches the Rfam family "Bacterial small subunit ribosomal RNA". The record is from RNAcentral. Lineage: Bacteria; Pseudomonadati; Pseudomonadota; Gammaproteobacteria; Enterobacterales; Enterobacteriaceae.
AAAUUGAAGAGUUUGAUCAUGGCUCAGAUUGAACGCUGGCGGCAGGCCUAACACAUGCAAGUCGAACGGUAACAGGAAGCAGCUUGCUGCUUUGCUGACGAGUGGCGGACGGGUGAGUAAUGUCUGGGAAACUGCCUGAUGGAGGGGGAUAACUACUGGAAACGGUGGCUAAUACCGCAUAACGUCGCAAGACCAAAGAGGGGGACCUUCGGGCCUCUUGCCAUCAGAUGUGCCCAGAUGGGAUUAGCUUGUUGGUGAGGUAACGGCUCACCAAGGCGACGAUCCCUAGCUGGUCUGAGAGGAUGAGCAGCCACACUGGAACUGAGACACGGUCCAGACUCCUACGGGAGGCAGCAGUGGGGAAUAUUGCACAAUGGGCGCAAGCCUGAUGCAGCCAUGCCGCGUGUAUGAAGAAGGCCUUCGGGUUGUAAAGUACUUUCAGCGGGGAGGAAGGUGUUGUGGUUAAUAACCGCAGCAAUUGACGUUACCCGCAGAAGAAGCACCGGCUAACUCCGUGCCAGCAGCCGCGGUAAUACGGAGGGUGCAAGCGUUAAUCGGAAUUACUGGGCGUAAAGCGCACGCAGGCGGUCUGUCAAGUCGGAUGUGAAAUCCCCGGGCUCAACCUGGGAACUGCAUUCGAAACUGGCAGGCUUGAGUCUUGUAGAGGGGGGUAGAAUUCCAGGUGUAGCGGUGAAAUGCGUAGAGAUCUGGAGGAAUACCGGUGGCGAAGGCGGCCCCCUGGACAAAGACUGACGCUCAGGUGCGAAAGCGUGGGGAGCAAACAGGAUUAGAUACCCUGGUAGUCCACGCCGUAAACGAUGUCUACUUGGAGGUUGUGCCCUUGAGGCGUGGCUUCCGGAGCUAACGCGUUAAGUAGACCGCCUGGGGAGUACGGCCGCAAGGUUAAAACUCAAAUGAAUUGACGGGGGCCCGCACAAGCGGUGGAGCAUGUGGUUUAAUUCGAUGCAACGCGAAGAACCUUACCUGGUCUUGACAUCCACAGAAGAAUCCAGAGAUGGAUUUGUGCCUUCGGGAACUGUGAGACAGGUGCUGCAUGGCUGUCGUCAGCUCGUGUUGUGAAAUGUUGGGUUAAGUCCCGCAACGAGCGCAACCCUUAUCCUUUGUUGCCAGCGGUUAGGCCGGGAACUCAAAGGAGACUGCCAGUGAUAAACUGGAGGAAGGUGGGGAUGACGUCAAGUCAUCAUGGCCCUUACGACCAGGGCUACACACGUGCUACAAUGGCGCAUACAAAGAGAAGCGACCUCGCGAGAGCAAGCGGACCUCAUAAAGUGCGUCGUAGUCCGGAUUGGAGUCUGCAACUCGACUCCAUGAAGUCGGAAUCGCUAGUAAUCGUGGAUCAGAAUGCCACGGUGAAUACGUUCCCGGGCCUUGUACACACCGCCCGUCACACCAUGGGAGUGGGUUGCAAAAGAAGUAGGUAGCUUAACCUUCGGGAGGGCGCUUACCACUUUGUGAUUCAUGACUGGGGUGAAGUCGUAACAAGGUAACCGUAGGGGAACCUGCGGUUGGA